UAAUUAUAAAUGAAAAAGAAGCCAUGCUGUAACAUGACUUCCCAAUAGAGCCGUUAAAGACGGUGACUAUACUAUAACGAUGAUAAC
This 87-nucleotide small RNA is filed under the name Pediococcus argentinicus. Its description in RNAcentral is "RNA anti-toxin A". It matches the Rfam family "RNA anti-toxin A". The record is from Rfam by way of RNAcentral. Lineage: Bacteria; Bacillati; Bacillota; Bacilli; Lactobacillales; Lactobacillaceae.